GGAUAGCUCAGUUGGUAGAGCAUGAGACUCCUAAUAUCAGGGUCAUGGGUUUGAGCCCCAUGUUAAGCA
Molecule: transfer RNA, 69 nt
Filed under: Podarcis lilfordi (Lilford's wall lizard)
Lineage: Eukaryota; Metazoa; Chordata; Lepidosauria; Squamata; Lacertidae
Description: tRNA.Arg
Rfam family: tRNA (bases 4-61)
About the family: Transfer RNA (tRNA) molecules are approximately 80 nucleotides in length.
Source: RNAcentral